GACGAACGCUGGCGGCGUGCUUAACACAUGCCAGUCGAACGGAAAGGCCCUGCUUUUGUGGGGUGCUCGAGUGGCGAACGGGUGAGUAACACGUGAGUAACCUGCCCUUGACUUUGGGAUAACUUCAGGAAACUGGGGCUAAUACCGGAUAGGAGCUCCUGCUGCAUGGUGGGGGUUGGAAAGUUUCGGCGGUUGGGGAUGGACUCGCGGCUUAUCAGCUUGUUGGUGGGGUAGUGGCUUACCAAGGCUUUGACGGGUAGCCGGCCUGAGAGGGUGACCGGCCACAUUGGGACUGAGAUACGGCCCAGACUCCUACGGGAGGCAGCAGUGGGGAAUAUUGCACAAUGGGCGGAAGCCUGAUGCAGCAACGCCGCGUGCGGGAUGACGGCCUUCGGGUUGUAAACCGCUUUCGCCUGUGACAAAGCGUGAGUGACGGUAAUGGGUAAAGAAGCACCGGCUAACUACGUG
This 468-nucleotide ribosomal RNA is filed under the name uncultured bacterium. RNAcentral's name for it is "partial 16S ribosomal RNA". It matches the Rfam family "Bacterial small subunit ribosomal RNA", at positions 28 to 507 of the family's 1533-position model. The record is from RNAcentral.